Molecule: ribosomal RNA, 339 nt
Filed under: uncultured Streptococcus sp.
Lineage: Bacteria; Bacillati; Bacillota; Bacilli; Lactobacillales; Streptococcaceae
Description: bacterial SSU rRNA
Rfam family: Bacterial small subunit ribosomal RNA
Source: RNAcentral
UGCAUGGUUGUCGUCAGCUCGUGUCGUGAGAUGUUGGGUUAAGUCCCGCAACGAGCGCAACCCCUAUUGUUAGUUGCCAUCAUUCAGUUGGGCACUCUAGCGAGACUGCCGGUAAUAAACCGGAGGAAGGUGGGGAUGACGUCAAAUCAUCAUGCCCCUUAUGACCUGGGCUACACACGUGCUACAAUGGUUGGUACAACGAGUUGCGAGUCGGUGACGGCGAGCUAAUCUCUUAAAGCCAAUCUCAGUUCGGAUUGUAGGCUGCAACUCGCCUACAUGAAGUCGGAAUCGCUAGUAAUCGCGGAUCAGCACGCCGCGGUGAAUACGUUCCCGGGCCUU